This 361-nucleotide unclassified non-coding RNA is filed under the name soil metagenome. Its description in RNAcentral is "partial contains 5.8S ribosomal RNA, internal transcribed spacer 2, and large subunit ribosomal RNA". The stretch from base 1 to 120 matches the Rfam family "5.8S ribosomal RNA", at positions 35 to 154 of the family's 154-position model. The record is from RNAcentral.
GAUGAAGAACGCAGCGAAAUGCGAUAAGUAAUGUGAAUUGCAGAAUUCAGUGAAUCAUCGAAUCUUUGAACGCACAUUGCGCCCGCCAGCAUUCUGGCGGGCAUGCCUGUCCGAGCGUCAUUUCAACCCUCAGGGUCCCUCCGCCUCGCGCGGUCGGAGCCUGGUGUUGGGGAUCGGCCCGCCCCGCGCGGCGCCGUCCCCAAAUACAGUGGCGGUCCCGCCGCAGCCUCCCCUGCGCAGUAGUUAUCAACUCGCACUGGAGCGCGGCGCGGCCACGCCGUAAAACCCCCGACUUUUAGAAAGUUGACCUCGGAUCAGGUAGGAAUACCCGCUGAACUUAAGCAUAUCAAUAAGCGGAGGA